Molecule: long non-coding RNA, 303 nt
Filed under: Anolis carolinensis (green anole)
Lineage: Eukaryota; Metazoa; Chordata; Lepidosauria; Squamata; Anolidae
Description: lncRNA (ENSACAG00000033423.2)
Source: RNAcentral
AUGUCCAACCUGGAGAAAGAAGAACUCUCCAAUGCAAUUAUCCUCUAUCUUAGAAGUCUUGGGAUUCAUGUCCAGCCUUGGAAGAUCAGCUCUAGCGAGGAGAAUCACACGGUGCCUUGUGUAGCUGGUGGUCUGUUUGGUGUCCCACUGCACACACUGCCCAUUUCAAAGCAGGUAGCCGGUGUGCCACAGUUCCUUGCUGAUGCUUGUGAGUUGCUCCGGCCACACCUUCACGUUGAAGGACUUUUCCGGAAAUGUGGAUCAACGACACGCAUCAAGGCUUUAAAGGUGUGCUCAGAAUAA